This is a transfer RNA of 121 nucleotides. It matches the Rfam family "tRNA". Rfam says of the family: Transfer RNA (tRNA) molecules are approximately 80 nucleotides in length. Their secondary structure includes four short double-helical elements and three loops (D, anti-codon, and T loops). Further hydrogen bonds mediate the characteristic L-shaped molecular structure. tRNAs have two regions of fundamental functional importance: the anti-codon, which is responsible for specific mRNA codon recognition, and the 3' end, to which the tRNAs corresponding amino acid is attached (by aminoacyl-tRNA synthetases). tRNAs cope with the degeneracy of the genetic code in two manners: having more than one tRNA (with a specific anti-codon) for a particular amino acid; and 'wobble' base-pairing, i.e. permitting non-standard base-pairing at the 3rd anti-codon position. The record is from Rfam.
GGUGGUGUGGUGUAAUGGUAGCACGUGGUGUUGUGGUUUCUCCUCUAAGGGUCUUCACGAAGAUGAGCUGUUGCAAGCUCCAAUUCCCGCUUCAAUCUGGGUUCGAUUCCCAGCACCGCCA